CACACACCAUUAGCAGAAAUUCAUUGGAAAAAAAACACAUGGGGUCUGACGUUUUGACCAAUUUUCAUAGACUGAAGCCCCUUGAACAACUUGCUCAUUGGUUAGUUAACACCCAAGGAAAUCCCACUGCAUCAGUUGUUGUUGUUGUUGUUGUAACCAUCUCGUCCUCUGUCGUCCCCUUCUCCUCUUGCCCUCACAUUUUCCCAACAUCAAGGUCUUUUCCAAGGAGUCUUCUCUUCUCAUGAGAUGGCCAAAGUCUUGGAACCUCAGCUUCAGGAUCUGUCCUUCCAGGGAGCGCUCAGGCUUGAUUUCCCUGAGUUCUGCAUCAGUGGGUCAACUCUUGUUGAAAUGAGUGAUCAUAUUUGAUCAUUUUGGCCCAACUCUCAGGAAUCACGAAAUAUUGGGAGAAUCUCUGAUUAAGCUCCCCAAAGUGAAGGAAAGCUGUAAGAGCAUAAAGCAGGAGAGACCUUCCCGGGGCAUCCAUUUUGCUCUUUUCAACCUGGUGCUCCAAGCAUCUGGAACAUGGGUGGCACUUUGGAGAGAGGACUGGAGAAGUAAUUUUACCCUGACCCCCCCCCCCAGCUUGUUUUAGGGUUGGGAGGAAUUCCAUUGAGAGAUACACAAACACAAAUACAGUUUCCCAAACCCAGGGGGCACCUUCUCUUCCUGAAGGGGAGUAUUUCACAACCAGGGAGCAGCCACCGAAAAGGCUCUGCCUCAUGUCUCUGUUAAACAUGUCGGGGAUGGCCUUGGGACCGGGAGCAGGGCGUCCUCGGAAAGUCUUACAAGCCACGAAGACUCCUAUAGGGCCUCUGGCCACCCCUCAACCAACCCGCACAAAAACAUACCGUACUAAUGACACAUCUUCCUUUUUUUGGUUUAUUUGGACAGUCAUCUUCUCAGCUGCCCAGUUAAAUCCAGCCGUGGGGGGAAACGCGGUGUUCACCUGCAACGUAUCCAACAUGCGUACUUCAAAAUACUCCAUUUUCUGGUACAAGAUGGGUGAGGACAACCAGCCGAAGAAACUGGACAGCAGCAAUGGGAAGAAAUAUCUCCAAACUGAAGUCGACCCGAAGACGUUCAAGAUGAACAUUCUAGAUUUAAAGAAGAACGAUAGUGGGGUUUAUUACUGUGGAUUGAUAUCCUUCUCGUCCAAUCAGACCCUGAUAGAAAGCAAGAAGAUUAACCUCACAGUGUCAGAAAAAAACCACGAUCCUGGACCUUCGGAAGAUCCAGGGGAGGAAGAGCGUCAGGAUGAAGAAGGUCACCAGAAGAUCCUCCUUCCUGUCGUUACAGGAUCUGGACUUCUUUUGGUGCUUGUAGGUUCCUGUGUCCUUCUCGCUUACCUCAUGAGGAGAAAGCAAGAGCACAGAAGCUCACAGGGUGAAAAUGCUCCCUUGGUAAGUCUCUUUUAGCUAAAUUCAGGGGCCCGCCACCCCCCCCCCCAAACGAAGAGGGAUAAAAAGAAAUUUGGAGGUUCUGAAAAUAAUUCCCCACCCCUACCUAGAGAUGUAAAAUUUCUGGAAAUUUCCACUUUUCCCUGAAAAAACACAAAACGAGGUGACAUUUUUUCUCCUGGAAAAAAAUGAUCUGAUCCCCCACCCAAUUUUUUCCAUCUUUACCCCUGCCCCACACUGAGAUCAGCAGGGUCCAGAUAGUGGCUUUUGUGUCUCCUGCAGGGUGAGGAAGACUUUUAAAAUUCAUUUUUGGUGUGUCUCAAAGGAGUGGUGGUGGUGCUGAAGUACUGUCCUGGGAGCCUUUGUGGUGGAGGGGGGGUCACUCGUAGCCAAGUCUUGAUUUAGGUCAAUGAACCAUUUUUUAAAAAUCUGUUCACAGGCUUACGACAGAUGUUAAAAAGUUAUUUUUGUGAAGUAGUUCCCACAAAGAGCCCAAAAUAAGUUUGGUUUUUGUUAUAUUGCAACAAAGCAGAAUCCCUUUGCUUGUCUGCAAAUGACAGAUUUUUUUUUUUAGCUACCUUGAAAAUUCUGUUUUUCAUUCAUCCAGACAAGGUAGACAACAAGCCAGCACCUGAAGCUUAUGAUAUUCUUCCUCUGCUACAAUAUUUAGUGAGCCCUAGAAAAUUAACUUGGAAGCUGGGAGGGGAUUGGCUGUAUUAG
Molecule: long non-coding RNA, 2117 nt
Organism: Pogona vitticeps (central bearded dragon)
Lineage: Eukaryota; Metazoa; Chordata; Lepidosauria; Squamata; Agamidae
Source: Ensembl